Molecule: unclassified non-coding RNA, 288 nt
Filed under: Hevea brasiliensis (rubber tree)
Lineage: Eukaryota; Viridiplantae; Streptophyta; Magnoliopsida; Malpighiales; Euphorbiaceae
Source: RNAcentral
GUUAAGUUAGUGCAUGAUGCAUAAACAUGACAAGCAAUGAAUUGAACACAAGAUAUCCAGUAAGAAACUAAGGCUUGGUAAGACAUAAGAGAAUGUAAUGUAAUAAAAUAUUUCAUUGAAUUUCAAUCAAUAUUCAAUUACACUACAUUUCAUUUCAUCUUACCAAAUGUAAUGAUAUCAUAAAUGCAUAAUGCAACGCUGGGAAAAUGAGAGUGAUACCACAAUGCUGGCUAGUGCCACUAAAUUUUCAUCAUAAAUGCAUAGACUCAACCCAACUCAACUAAGCUU